GUCUUGCGCUUCGGAAGCGGUUUCGGUAGACUAGCGCCAGUUACAAAGCGAACGGGGAAUCACGGAAGCCGGUGCGAAUCCGGCGCGGCCCCGCCACUGUAACGGGCACGAUCGUAACGGCUCACGGCCACUGGGGGUGUUCACCCGGGAAGGCGAGCCGAUCGCCCGAAGCCA
This 174-nucleotide non-coding RNA is filed under the name Gemmatimonadota bacterium. Lineage: Bacteria; Pseudomonadati; Gemmatimonadota. The record is from RNAcentral.